Molecule: ribosomal RNA, 492 nt
Filed under: uncultured bacterium
Lineage: Bacteria
Description: partial 16S ribosomal RNA
Rfam family: Bacterial small subunit ribosomal RNA (bases 59-492)
Source: RNAcentral
GGGGGGGGGGGGGGGGGGGGGGGGGGGAGGGGGGGGGGGGGGGGGGGGGGUGGGGGGGUGGGGGUGGGGGGGGGGGGUGGCGGGCGGGGGGGGGAUGCGUCGGAGUGUACGGUUGGGUGGGGGAGAACGUAGGGUAAUUUAGGGUGAUACCGCGGCCGCCCUGCGGGUGAGAGCAGGGGGUGUUCGGACCUGGCGCGCUGGAAUGUGGCGAUGUCGGAUUAGCUCGGUGGCGGGUGAAAGGGCCACCAAGGCGACGCGCCGUAGCUGGUCUGAGAGGAUGAUCAGCCACACUGGAACUGAGACACGGUCCAGACUCCUACGGGAGGCAGCAGUGGGGAAUAUUGGACAAUGGGCGCAAGCCUGAUCCAGCCAUACCGCGUGGGUGAAGAAGGCCUUCGGGUUGUAAAGCCCUUUUGUUGGGAAAGAAAAGCAGCAGGUUAAUACCCCGCUGUUCUGACGGUACCCAAAGAAUAAGCACCGGCUAACUUCGUG